RNAcentral lists this ribosomal RNA (465 nucleotides) under Vreelandella stevensii. RNAcentral describes it as "partial 16S ribosomal RNA". It matches the Rfam family "Bacterial small subunit ribosomal RNA", at positions 338 to 795 of the family's 1533-position model. Lineage: Bacteria; Pseudomonadati; Pseudomonadota; Gammaproteobacteria; Oceanospirillales; Halomonadaceae. The record is from RNAcentral.
CCUACGGGAGGCAGCAGUGGGGAAUAUUGGACAAUGGGGGGAACCCUGAUCCAGCCAUGCCGCGUGUGUGAAGAAGGCCCUCGGGUUGUAAAGCACUUUCAGUGAGGAAGAACGCCUGGUGGUUACUACCCAUCAGGAAAGACAUCACUCACAGAAGAAGCACCGGCUAACUCCGUGCCAGCAGCCGCGGUAAUACGGAGGGUGCGAGCGUUAAUCGGAAUUACUGGGCGUAAAGCGCGCGUAGGUGGCUUGAUAAGCCGGUUGUGAAAGCCCCGGGCUCAACCUGGGAACGGCAUCCGGAACUGUCAAGCUAGAGUGCAGGAGAGGAAGGUAGAAUUCCCGGUGUAGCGGUGAAAUGCGUAGAGAUCGGGAGGAAUACCAGUGGCGAAGGCGGCCUUCUGGACUGACACUGACACUGAGGUGCGAAAGCGUGGGUAGCAAACAGGAUUAGAUACCCUUGUAGUC